CACGCCGAGGUAUAGACAUCUCGUACAUGAUAGUAGAAAGGACAUUGCUCCCUCCACCCCCACAAACGCUCCCUCCAUCUCCCCAAAAUUUCUCCAAAUUCUUUUAAUUACAAAAAUAUCCUUUCUUUACUUUAACCAUAUUUUAUAAACCUAUGCAACCCCACCCCACGCCAACCCCCCUCUCCGAACUCUACAUCCGUUUGUCCCACUCUCAUUUCUAAAUUCGUUUCUUCUCAUCCUCCAUCUCUCACUUUCUCCCUCUAUUUCCAUUCCAUCCUCACUCCCACCCUAGAAACGUCGUCCAAACUCGCCUCCGUCCUCCA
Molecule: long non-coding RNA, 323 nt
Filed under: Vigna radiata
Lineage: Eukaryota; Viridiplantae; Streptophyta; Magnoliopsida; Fabales; Fabaceae
Description: long non-coding RNA (VRAD_LNC007588)
Source: RNAcentral